UACGAAGGUCCCAAGCGUUAUCCGGAUUUAUUGGGUUUAAAGGGUGCGUAGGCGGGCUAUUAAGUCAGUGGUGAAAGCCCCAAGCUUAACUUGGGAACUGCCAUUGAUACUGAUGGUCUUGAGUACAUUUGAGGUGAGCGGAAUGUGUCAUGUAGCGGUGAAAUGCUUAGAUAUGACACAGAACACCGAUUGCGAAGGCAGCUCACUAAACUGUAACUGACGCUGAGGCACGAAAGCGUGGGGAGCAAACAGG
This 253-nucleotide ribosomal RNA is filed under the name uncultured bacterium. RNAcentral describes it as "partial 16S ribosomal RNA". It matches the Rfam family "Bacterial small subunit ribosomal RNA", at positions 524 to 776 of the family's 1533-position model. The record is from RNAcentral.